UCAGAGGUGAAAUUCUUGGAUUGACUGAAGACUAACUACUGCGAAAGCAUUUGCCAAGGACGUUUUCAUUAAUCAAGAACGAAAGUUAGGGGAUCGAAGAUGAUCAGAUACCGUCGUAGUCUUAACCAUAAACUAUGCCGACUAGGGAUCGGGUGGUGCUACUUUGCCCACUCGGCACCUUACGAGAAAUCAAAGUUUUUGGGUUCUGGGGGGAGUAUGGUCGCAAGGCUGAAACUUAAAGGAAUUGACGGAAGGGCACCACCAGGAGUGGAGCCUGCGGCUUAAUUUGACUCAACACGGGGAAACUCACCAGGUCCAGACGUAAUAAGGAUUGACAAGUUAGAGACUUCUCUUGAUCUUACGGGUGGUGGUGCAUGGCCGUUUUUAGUCCUUGGAGUGAUUUGUCUGCUUAAUU
This 415-nucleotide ribosomal RNA is filed under the name Pichia kudriavzevii. RNAcentral describes it as "SSU rRNA". It matches the Rfam family "Eukaryotic small subunit ribosomal RNA", at positions 905 to 1324 of the family's 1831-position model. Lineage: Eukaryota; Fungi; Ascomycota; Pichiomycetes; Pichiales; Pichiaceae. The record is from RNAcentral.